This 598-nucleotide precursor RNA is filed under the name Prismatomeris beccariana. RNAcentral describes it as "partial transfer RNA-Thr". The stretch from base 1 to 444 matches the Rfam family "Group I catalytic intron", at positions 51 to 253 of the family's 253-position model. From Rfam's summary of the family: Group I catalytic introns are large self-splicing ribozymes. Lineage: Eukaryota; Viridiplantae; Streptophyta; Magnoliopsida; Gentianales; Rubiaceae. The record is from RNAcentral.
CUUUCAAUUCAGAGAAACCCCGGAAUUAAUAAAAAGGGGCAAUCCUGAGCCAAAUCCUGUUUUAUGAAAACAAAGGUUCAGAAAAUCAAAAAAGGGAUAGGUGCAGAGACUCAAUGGAAGCUGUUCUAACAAAUGGAAUUGGCUGCGGUAGUGGAGAAGUCUUUCCAUCAAAAAUUCAGUAAGUAUUAAGUAUAAGUAUUAAGGAUGAGGUGAAGGAUAAACGUAUACGUAGUGAAUAGUAUAUUAAAUGAGUAAUGACAGCCCGAAUGAAUCUAUGUUUUUUCUAUGAAAAAACAAAGAAUUGGUGUGAAUAGAUUCUACGUUGAAGAAAGAAUCGAAUAUUCAUUGAUCAAAUGAUUCACUCCAUAGUCUGAUAAAUCUUUUCAAGAACGGAUUAAUCGGACGAGAAUAAAGAUAGAGUCCCAUUCUACAUGUCAAUGCCGGCAGCAAUGAAAUUUAUAGUUAAGAGGAAAAUCCGUCGACUUUUAAAAUCGUGAGGGUUCAAGCCCCUCUAUCCCCAAAUAAACUAUUUGACUCCCCAACUAUCUAUUUACCUAUCCCUCUUUUUGUUAUCAGUUCAAAAUUCCUUAUCCAUUCA